AACUUAAAAUAUUAUAUAAAAUAGGACAUCUAUGUAAAUAAGAAAAAAUAAUAAGGAUAUUUGAGACUUUUUUUCCCUAGCACCAAAUGAAUAGUGUUGCACUAUAUUUGGUGCAAUACUAUUCAUAACACCAUUUUGGUGUUAUAUUGGAGAAGUAUUUUACACCAAAAAUGGUGUAAAAGAUGAUUUAGUGUUAGGUUUAGUACUACAUUGGAGAUGCCUUUAACACCAUUUUGGUGUAACACCAACAAAAAAAAGUACAUUUUUCACACUAAAUUACUAUUUCAUCUCCAACCCAUUUACACCCAAAAAAAAUUCUUCUUUUUAUUCUUUUAAUUCUCGAGAAUUAAUUCAAUUAAUACAAUAAAUAUUACAAUU
This 378-nucleotide long non-coding RNA is filed under the name Citrus x clementina. RNAcentral's name for it is "Citrus clementina (C. clementina) long non-coding RNA (CCLE_LNC005396)". Lineage: Eukaryota; Viridiplantae; Streptophyta; Magnoliopsida; Sapindales; Rutaceae. The record is from RNAcentral.